UACGGAGGAUCCAAGCGUUAUCCGGAAUCAUUGGGUUUAAAGGGUCCGUAGGCGGUUUGGUAAGUCAGUGGUGAAAGCCCAUCGCUCAACGGUGGAACGGCCAUUGAUACUGCCAGACUUGAAUUAUUAGGAAGUAACUAGAAUAUGUAGUGUAGCGGGUGAAAUGCUUAGAGAUUACAUGGAAUACCAAUUGCGAAGGCAGGUUACUACUAAUGGAUUGACGCUGAUGGACGAAAGCGUGGGUAGCGAACAGG
Molecule: ribosomal RNA, 254 nt
Filed under: uncultured bacterium
Lineage: Bacteria
Description: partial 16S ribosomal RNA
Rfam family: Bacterial small subunit ribosomal RNA
Source: RNAcentral